RNAcentral lists this ribosomal RNA (401 nucleotides) under uncultured microorganism. RNAcentral's name for it is "bacterial SSU rRNA". It matches the Rfam family "Archaeal small subunit ribosomal RNA", at positions 330 to 735 of the family's 1478-position model. The record is from RNAcentral.
GCGCAGCAGUCGCGAAAACUUUACAAUGUGCGAAAGCACGAUAAGGGAACUCUGAGUGCCUCCUAAGGAGGCUGUUCUGAUGUCUAAAAAGCAACAGAAGUAAGGGCUGGGUAAGACCGGUGCCAGCCGCCGCGGUAACACCGGCAGCCCAAGUGGUAGCCACGUUUAUUGGGUCUAAAGCGUUCGUAGCCGGCCAGGUAAGUUCCUUGGUAAAUUUAGCCGCUUAACGGUUAAGCUUUCAGGGAAUACUGCUUGGCUUGGGACUGGGAGAGGUCAGAGGUACUCCGGGGGUAGGGGUGAAAUCUAUUAAUCCCUGGGGGACCACCGGUAGCGAAGGCGUCUGACCAGACCAGGUCCGACGGUGAGGGACGAAGGCUAGGGGGCGCGAACCGGAUUAGAUA